CAACUUUCAACAACGGAUCUCUUGGUUCGGCAUCGAUGAAGAACGCAGCGAAAUGCGAUACGUAGUGUGAAUUGCAGAAUUCAGUGAAUCAUCGAAUCUUUGAACGCACAUUGCGCCCUUUGGUAUUCCAAAGGGCAUGCCUGUUCGAGCGUCAUUU
This 157-nucleotide ribosomal RNA is filed under the name Curvularia spicifera. RNAcentral describes it as "5.8S ribosomal RNA". It matches the Rfam family "5.8S ribosomal RNA". From Rfam's summary of the family: 5.8S ribosomal RNA (5.8S rRNA) is a component of the large subunit of the eukaryotic ribosome. It is transcribed by RNA polymerase I as part of the 45S precursor that also contains 18S and 28S rRNA. Lineage: Eukaryota; Fungi; Ascomycota; Dothideomycetes; Pleosporales; Pleosporaceae. The record is from RNAcentral.